RNAcentral lists this transfer RNA (63 nucleotides) under Chaetocnema hortensis. RNAcentral's name for it is "tRNA-Glu". The record is from RNAcentral. Lineage: Eukaryota; Metazoa; Arthropoda; Insecta; Coleoptera; Chrysomelidae. RNAcentral also lists the same sequence under 4 other names.
AUUUAUAUAGUUUAAUAAAAACAUUACAUUUUCAUUGUAAAAUUAGAAAUUUUCUUAUAAAUA